GGGGCCAUAGCUCAGUUGGGAGAGCGCCUGCUUUGCAAGCAGGAGGUCGUCGGUUCGAUCCCGUCUGGCUCCA
This is a non-coding RNA of Rhizobiales bacterium TMED25, 73 nucleotides long. Lineage: Bacteria; Pseudomonadati; Pseudomonadota; Alphaproteobacteria; Hyphomicrobiales. The record is from Rfam.